This is a long non-coding RNA of Bactrocera oleae (olive fruit fly), 7519 nucleotides long. RefSeq lists it as uncharacterized. The record is from RefSeq and is a predicted model, not a curated record. NCBI's taxonomy places the organism in Eukaryota, Metazoa, Arthropoda, Insecta, Diptera, Tephritidae.
GCCUCUAUUGGUAUUCUGGACAGUUUGGUUUAAGUGGCAUUGGUUAUUGGCUGUUAUCAAGGAAGUAAUGUUCACUGUAAAAGUGGUUUUAUACAUUUUACAUUGAAGUUCCACUACAGAAUCGAAUAGAUUUAUUUAUUUUUAUUUAUUUAUUAAAGGAAAUACAAUAAUAAAUAAUUAUACUACCUAUAAAAUAUAACAGCACUAGCGACAAGGCUUUCAGCUGUAAGAUUAAUUCGCGUUAUCAUAGAAAGUUUACGUGCAUUACCGGCCAAAGUUAUACAUAUAUGGGUUUACUAUCGCUUAAAUGGUAUUUCGGAUUGAGGAUGUUAAUAUGUCAAUCCAAAUAUAACUCAAAAAUAUUAAUAUAAUGUGGGCGCGUGUAGAUUAAAAAUAUGUCUACAACUUCUAAAUCGAAAAUUGUGUAUACAAAUGAGAAGAGCUCUAAAUAUUUAGUAACACGAAUGAAUUGUUUUCCGUUUGAUUUUGCCAUGGUAAAUUUGUUUUAAAUUACAAGGUGCGCAUUCAAAACUAGAGGACCCCGUCCACGCGUUGCUGUGGCUAAGGUAUACAUUAAUUACAUACUAUUCAAUGCAGUAAAAUUGUACAUAUGAAAUAAAACGAAAACGUUAAUUCCAGUGAAAGAAUAACCAAGCAGAUCACUUCCAAAAGUUGAAAAUGAUUAAUACUAAUUUCCUUCGAUUUGUUAUUAAACACAAAUAAACAUAAAAUAUAAUAUGUUGAUUUUUUAAUUUUAUAUUCAAGUAUGAAAAAAAUUUGUAAUUUUCAAAGUUAGUAGAUAACGUUUGAAAUAAUGAAAGAGGUUGAUCGUUCUUAAUUUUUAACAGUAAUAUUUAUAGUUUUUAAUUAUAAACAUUUUCAAAUUCAAUUAAUUAAGCUCUAUUUGUAUCGUACGUUCUGACAGUUGGAAAACGUGGUAAGAGAACCAUUUCUCCAUUAAAUUUUUCAGUCAAAAUAAUUGCUACAAUAGUAUUUAUUGUAAUCUUUUUGAUUUUCGAAGUUGUACCGUUGCAUAAUUGAGGUGAAUUGAAAUAAUUUUCAUCCAAAGAUUAACUGAUGUCAUUCCGAAUAUAUCUAGAUAAUUCACGUUUUCAUUCAUAUUAAAAACAGUAGCGAAUUAUUUAAAAUUUUAUGCUAUCCCCUCAUCAAUUUAAAGCCAAAUCGGUUAAGCCGUUAAUAAGUUAAAAAUAUUGUAGCUAACUCUUCAUUUCGAGCUUCACGUUGCUCAUCAGUAUAUCUUUGACUUGCAGUAUUUCGUUUUAUGCGGCCUAAGUUUGUACGUCUGCUUGGUGACAUUUUUAAAAACGAAAAUCCAACUGAAAAUAAAAAAUUACUCUCUUAUAUUUUCUGUUUAACCGUGUAUACCAAAUUUUAAUAUUGUGUAGUCAUCAAAAGUUACCAAAAAUCGAUAUUAAGCUGCGUACUUACCGUGAUUAACAAACACUUAUUAGCAAACAACAAACUUCUUAAUCUUUAAAACAAAACAAACUUUAUCAAAAACUUAAUAAAAUUAUUGUUAGCGCUAUGUUAGGUUAUGUGUGUCAGAUUAGCACAGAUUACUUAAUAGGUUAUGCGAAAUUUGUAUACUGCGUUUUGAAAUCUAACACAUAGUAUACAUAUUUUAUUAUUAUUAAAUACUUACAUUAAAAUGAAAUAAACACUGGUAUUAUUAAUAUUACCGUCAAAGUCGGUACAUUUAAUUGUGGCGAGUAAUUUUCAAAUAUAAGUAAAUUAGUGCGAUAUAACAAACACGAACAAACGAUGCUCUUUCAAUAUAGUCUAUGGCUGUGAAUGACAUUCGUUACGCGCGUUUUUUAAAAUAUGCAAAUUAGAUGUAUUUUUUCAAUAUUUCUGAGACAGUUUCUUAAUAUUUUUUUCCGUAAGAACCUUCUACAGAGUAUUAGAAAACCACAAAAAAAAAGCCAAAUCGGUCUAGCCGUUCUCAAGUUAUGGCGUGACAACGGGAAACGGGUUUAAUUUUUAUAUAUAUUGAUUAAUUAUUCUAAUAUUUCCCUUAACUAAGCAUUUUAUUUUUACACAACUCUUGACAAACCGCAUGAAAAUGAUUAUAAUUUAAUACGCUUGGGUUGUAUGUAUGUAAUGGAAUCUUAGAGCUCAAUUUUCAUAGGUUUCCCGAAGUCUGAUCAACUUCAAACUUUGCAAACGUGUCAAGGACCGAUGACAAUGCAAUAAUUUGAUAACAGUUUCCCAUUAUUUUAAAGGUGGGCAUAACCCCGCAUUGUGAGAAAAGCGUGGAAUAGUUUGUGCCAUAUUUUUCGUAUAUAAAGCACAUCACACUUUUCUUACAAUAGUACAAAUAUAUUUCGGGCAAUAUUCCUGUCAGUUUAUAUAAGAAAUUAUUUUUUCUCUUUUAAGCUUGAAGUGGUUUAAAAGCUUUAUUUAGUUUUUUAAAACUAUACUUAUUUUCUAAAUUAAUUUAUUUUUAGCUUCACUUCUAGAAUGAUGCAAACUAGCCAUUGUUUCAAACAUGCCAUCUCAAAAACGUAAGAUAUUGACAUUUGUUAUGCCCGAAACAUAAACAUCAAAGUCAAAAAGACUGUUAUGUUAUGUUCUGUAAUGGAAUGUAGACGAGGUUCGCCACCACGCGGUAUCCUGGGUAACUCUAAAUGACCUGCGACCUUUUAGGCGUUCUGCGGAUUUGACCUUUGCUCGAUUCGGACACAGUUUGGACUAUUUGAGUAUGCAGAUGUGAUACCCUGCAGAAAUGACUGAUGCGCUAAUGAUAAGGUCGCCUCUGUCCCGUUAAAACAACAGCAGGACUCGGAGUUCAUUCCCCUCCUGUCAUGAUUAAGUUGGUGUGCCCUGAAUGUAUUCCCUCAUAAGGGCGUGCGUUAAUCCUCGCCUUGGCCUCGUAACUGAGACAACCUUGAGACCAUAAGAGGUGACUACCUUUCCGGGAGGUGAAUAGCGGUUCUGAGUCGGGACCCAAUUACAAUGAAUAAAACAACAACCCAACUAAGGACGAGGGAGGAAGCAGGUGGAAACCGUCCUCUGCUAAAGUGACGGUCCUUUUUUUUUGAAGCAUCAAAUUGCUUUCGGUGCGGUGUUUUUUGAAUUCCGCCCAAACCUGCUGCUUUUUGCUCCUAAGUAGUGAAAUGUUCUUAUUCCACCAAGGUACAGAUGGUUUACGGGUAACGUUUUUUGCUUGGGGUAUAUGGAAAUGCUAGAUGAUGCUACAUUUAGUUUGUUGUGGGUAAUCCCUUUUUUAAUGUAUACACUUCUGCCUUGCUUAUUUCUUGUACUUAGCGUAUGAUUGUGAAAGUAUGCUACGUAGGCGUGGGGUUGCUAUUGAAGGGCAAAUGAGUGUCUUGCAACGAAACAAUGCAUACAAUGCUAGGGUUAUUGUCUUUUAUAAGUAGAUGUAAAUGUAAUAGAAUGUAGAUGUAAUUGUCCCAGUAUCCAUUAAGAUUCCAUUGCAAAAUAGUGGUAAUUUUGACUUAUGAAUAUGUCUUAAAAUAAGCUGGAGGAUGCUGUAUAUUAUAUAAUAUGCCAGAUUACACAGGUUUUCAUUAAUAUUUCAAGAGCACUAGUCGCCCACAGGAUCGCUCGGUAUGGAGUACUAAACAAAUUAGUAUCUGCCCAAGACAACAAUUUUAGUCAAAACUUGGAUUCUAGUUGUCAAGCAUAUACGAAUUUCACCAUAUCAUCUGCAGCCAAAAGGGUUAAUGGAACGUUUUCAUUGGUUGGACACUCUAGCAGUUUCACUUUUUGAUAUUCGAGCAGUUUAAACGGAAGAUAAAACAAACCGCUAGUCGAACACGUUUACUUACAUACAAAGGAUAAUUUUUUUUAUUUUAAGAACAAUAUGUUUCGGUACUAAAAGAUCACAUUGAAAUUUAAUUUUCACCACACUACGAAGGAUCGUACUUUUUUUGAGAAGUGGCGUACUGCUGCAAAUAGCAUCACCUGUACAGAGGAAUGUUUUGACUUUAAAUUGUCUUUUCUCAUUUCAGCUAUUAAGUUGCAACCAAGGGUAACAAUGUGCAAAUCUUAUGUAUUUUAGUGCUGAAUGAAAUUUGAUGUUAACUGUUGCAAAAAAUUAAAAUAUCUCACUUUUGAACGACCAAAAAACAACAUACGUUGGCAACACAUUAAAUGUAUUUAUCCAGUAGGUACCGUUAUAAUUGUCUGAUAUUAUUUGCGUAUGAUAAGUGGAACUGUAUUUGGUAAGCAAAUUUCUUUUAUGAUGUUGUAGGUUUGCAAAAAAAAAAAGAUAAACAAACAGACAUUUCAAGAUUUGCAGGCUCUGUUAUUCAAAUAAUGUCAGGGGAAAAAAGUACUUGCGAAAUAGGCAAUACUGUCAAAAAACCACAUACUACUUUUUGGUACAUUAUUGCUAAAUUCAAGACUGCUGAAGUUGAAAGACUUAAUGGUAGUGAAAGGUCCAAAAAAUUCGAUCGCACCAGUCUUAAAAUAAAGUUCAUCGGAAAAUCAAAAAACACCCCAAAAUAUCCGAUGUCGCUAUCGCCAAGCAGUUGGAGGAAGCUGGCAUUGCAAAAAGCCACCCUCAAUCUCUUAAUAACAUCUCGGUUUCACCUAAUUUUAGAGUGUAAACACCACGAAACCAUCUAAACAUAUCGAAGAGAAAUAUAGUAUAUCCACCGUGACAAUAAAUUUUGGGAUUCUGUAACUAUUACAGAUGAGUCUAAAUUUAAUUUCUUUGGAUCUAGUGGUCUUCAAUUUGUAUGGUGUAAGGAAGUCUACCCACUGAAAGAUAAAUAUUUAAUUUGCCUCCGUCAGCAGCUAAACUUCAUUUAAAUGGUAGGUUCUGCGACCGGAAGCAUUUUGCUUUAGCGGUUAGGGAUUGGUUGUUUGUUAACGUCAAAAAAAGGCAGCCGCAUCCUCCUCAGAGUUCAGACCUUACGAGAGCGCAAAGUCAGAAGCAGAAAUGAGAAUGAGGUAAGUCUUCAGGAAAAAUGGGCAUAUAUACUUCUUGGACUUAUACCAAAUUUGGUGCAAUUUUAAAUAUGGAGUCAUUUUAGAUUUCUAAACAUAUUGCAAAAGCUUUAUUUUUUCAAAGAUAUUUCAAUUAUUAAAACGGACUUUUUCACACUUUUGGAUGCAACUCAAAAGUUUUAAUAGUUUAGACGAUAAGUCAAUUCAAAUCUGCCUAUAUACGUUUUUUGGUUGUAUGUGUUUGUAAAUCGUAAUUGCUUUAAUUAAAUAUAGUUACUAGUAUACAACGUUGAGACAGAAGCCUGUUGAUCUCUAGAAGGAUAAAAGCAGAAUAAAACGAUGCUUGAACGACCGUUGCUCCUUUUUUGGAUGCUUGAACGACCUUUGCUCCAAAUUUUGUUCUACGGUGCAGUAGUUUAAUGGACAGGCUUACGUAAAUCUACCUACCGGAAAAAAGAAGAAAAAAAAAAACAAAGAGUACAAAAACAGUUUAGACAUAAAAAUCUAUUAGACGAAUUGAAAUUAUUAAGCGAAAGAGAUUAUCAUAGCUUUUCGCGAACGGAUUCAUAAACCUUCAAUGAACUUUUAAAUGUGGUUAAGCCACCAAUACAAAACAAUACACAGUAAUGCGAGAAGCUAUUACGCCAAAUAUUAUUCAUAAAUUAAAGAUUUUAAAUAAUUAAGAGUUCAUUGAGUUUUAACAUCUUCCCAACAAGACAAUGUAUAAUAAUUUUUUGGUUUCGUCCGCAACUUGUUCAUCUUUCAACUUUCACUAUGCAAAUUAGGUUUUGCUUCUCAAACAUGAGUGAAGACCUUCAAAUUAGCAGCCGUCAAAUUAAAAUAUUAAAAACUUUUAAUGACAAUAAGUCAGUGAAGCAUUGAUGGAAUUAUUUGACCAUCUCCAAGGCCGUUAGAGAUCACAGGAUUUUAUUGUUUGCUUAUAAAUACUUUAUGAUAUGUACUAUAUAUUGUAUUAUAACUCGACGUACAUAUAUUUAUUGUCAAGCGGACCAUGCUCUGUCAUUGGCGACUACUAUGCGUUCUGUAUAUGUUGACCGCCAUAACGGAUUACGAAAUUUUUGAACGUUUAGUAUUCAAUAUUGAUGGAUUGCGAUUGUGGGAUUGUGAAUCCUGCGAUACAUAUUGAAUGUUAAGCACAUUUGGAAAAAAGCAUUGAAAAAAAUUCAAAACGUGUGUUUUAAAAAAAAAAUUAUUGUUUAUUUAUAUUUAUGUGCAAAUUUUAGCAUUUUCAAAGAUCUGGUGAAUUUUUCAUGGUUCUUAGUAUAUUUUACUCUAAGCUUUUCGUUAAAUUUAUUAACAAACGAAAAAUUAAACAAAUGAUGAAGGGAAACCUUUGUUUAAACUCUUUCUAUCAAAGAUAUGGUUUAUUACAAAUCUGGCGCGAUAAGUAUUGAGCGUGUAGCAUUCACUCGCUAUUCAUCAAUCCUCAAUAUGGAUCACGAUUCUAAUAUCACAAAAAAUAUUGAAAGUGUGACAGUCGCAUUAAAAAAUCCUUAGUCAAAUAAAAUGAUUUUGCUACUUUUCUACAAAAUUAGAUGUACAUUAAGAUCUGUAAAUUAACCAUUGUAUAAGCCUACAAGUAACUGAAGAAUCAGCAUUUAUAAUGGACAAUAUUAAUAAAUACUUUCAAGAAUAUUUUCAAAACAAAAGGUUAUUAUAUAUUUAUUGCUUUUCUUCACCACGUCUGAGGUUGUAAUAUAGGCGCGUUACCGAUGUAUUUUGGGUGUUCAGUUCCCCAGGAGGCCUUAAUUACAAUUAAGUUGAAAUUUUCAUUUUUUGAGGCAACCCGUACGAAGUGGACCAUUUUUGCGUGUGUUUGUGAAAGUCUCAGGAUUGGUUACUUGUAGAUGAAUGAAUGAAUGAAAUCAACUACAUGAGUACUAUAUACAUGUUUUACUUGCUUCUUACUUAAAUAAUAAAAUGCUGGAGGAGACAAGAACAUGAAAAGUAUAAUUUCUGUCAUGAACGGAAUAAAUAAAAACGAAAAUAAUUGCACACGAAUUAUAUUAUAAUAUUAUUUAUUACUAGCGGACCCAACAGACGUUGUCCCACGACUUAAUUGUAAAGUUUUUGAAAUUAGCUGGAACAAUUAGACCGUUUUGAUGAAAAUUUUCAUUAGAAAAUUAUAACAAUAUCUAACGUCAUUCAUAUACAUAUAUUUAUCACAAUUCGACCAAUAGCGUUCAUCGCAAAUGAAAAGCAGAUGGGAAAUUGUAAACGUUCAAAUGGUAUCGGCGAAUCCGAAGGAAUCACUGGAAUCCGUGGCAAAAGUACAACUUCACCUUGAGAUUUUCCACUCAAAAUAGUGGAUAGUCUUUUGAAAUUGAUAGUGUCGACAUCUACAUUUUUCGCUGCUAAAAUAGCUUGUUCACGUAGCCAUGUAUGGCUUGUAUAAUUAUAUCGUAAACAUAAAUAUACUUUUGAAUAUCUGACACGACUUCAGCGGAGUCUGCCGAAAUUCUAUGUAAAAUAUUCUAACAUCAACAUCAAUUUAUAAAUAAAUAAAUUCAUUGUUAAAACAUUAUCUAGUUGAUCGAAUUGUGAGUCUAAACCAUUCUCA